RNAcentral lists this ribosomal RNA (433 nucleotides) under uncultured bacterium. Its description in RNAcentral is "partial 16S ribosomal RNA". It matches the Rfam family "Bacterial small subunit ribosomal RNA", at positions 29 to 507 of the family's 1533-position model. The record is from RNAcentral.
AACGAACGCUGGCGGCAUGCCUAACACAUGCAAGUCGAACGAGACCUUCGGGUCUAGUGGCGCACGGGUUCGUAACGCGUGGGAACCUGCCCUUAGGUUCGGAAUAACUCCCCGAAAGGGGUGCUAAUACCGGAUAAUGUCUUCGGCCCAAAGAUUUAUCGCCUUUGGAUGGGCCCGCGUUGGAUUAGCUAGUUGGUAGGGUAAAAGCCUACCAAGGCGACGAUCCAUAGCUGGUCUGAGAGGAUGAUCAGCCACACUGGGACUGAGACACGGCCCAGACUCCUACGGGAGGCAGCAGUGGGGAAUAUUGGACAAUGGGCGAAAGCCUGAUCCAGCAAUGCCGCGUGAGUGAUGAAGGCCUUAGGGUUGUAAAGCUCUUUUACCCGGGAUGAUAAUGACAGUACCGGGAGAAUAAGCUCCGGCUAACUCCGUG